Mus musculus (house mouse) is the source of this 953-nucleotide long non-coding RNA. RefSeq annotates it as predicted gene, 41020. The transcript has 3 exons. Lineage: Eukaryota; Metazoa; Chordata; Mammalia; Rodentia; Muridae. The record is from RefSeq and is a predicted model, not a curated record.
CGCGGCACACACAGCUCUCCUCAGAGAUUACUGGCGGCACACAUGCGAUUGCUCGCAGCACGUACUGGCUUUCCACAAUAUUGCCUAUCCUGCUACCUCUGCUGGGAUUACAUAAAUGUUCUAAUAUGCUUGAACCGUAUAGUAUACUUAUCUUUUAAAGAUGUCAAGAUGUUAUAGAUGGCAGUUAUGCCAUUUUAAGUAUCCAAUAGUACUGCAUGAGAGUUUCAGUUGCUCCAUAUUCUUACUAACAUAUCUUGCUUGGUAUGAUUAGUCCUUGUGCAUGUAAGCAAUUGCUCUACCACUGAGUGUGUCUAAAAGUCUGGUUAGUGUUUUUUGUUUUUCUUUAUCAUUAACUAGGUAGGAAUAAACACUUAGUUUUGCAUGCAUGGGUGUGCGUGUGUAUGCAUACAUGUCCUGUGUGUUCAUUGUGUGUGCAUAUGCUUGUGUGGGCUCACCAAUUCUGGCUGAUGCAGCCAGCAAGCUUGGGAUCCUCUGGUUCUUUUUCCUAAGCACUGGGAUUGCAGGCAGGCUGCCUAAACAGCCAGGCUGAUUACAUGGAUGGGUUCUGGGGAUUUGAACACUGUCCUUACAGUUUCACAGCAAGUGCUUUUAAUCCACUGACCAAUCUUCCAGCCCUUUUAGUUUUCAGUGUAUUUUCCUAAUGAUUAACAAUGUAUCUCUGUGUGUGUGCGCGCACGCACGUGCUGAUUCUUAUGAGUUAAUUUUGUAUCCUGUUUCUUUGCUGAAAGUCUUUAUCAGCUGUAGAAGUUUCCUGGUGGAGUUUUUAGGGACUUUUAUCUGUACAUUCAUAAUGCCUACAAAUAAAGGUAGAUGCUGCCUGCUGUAAACCACCUUUGGUAUAUUGAUAUAUGUCUCUUGUAUUCCCUGAUCUCUCCAGGACUUGUAUCGAAAAGUGGCUAUUCCUGGUUGUCAACUUGACUAUAUUUGGAAUG